RNAcentral lists this transfer RNA (72 nucleotides) under Rhipicephalus sanguineus (brown dog tick). RNAcentral describes it as "transfer RNA threonine (anticodon CGU)". It matches the Rfam family "tRNA". From Rfam's summary of the family: Transfer RNA (tRNA) molecules are approximately 80 nucleotides in length. Their secondary structure includes four short double-helical elements and three loops (D, anti-codon, and T loops). The record is from Rfam by way of RNAcentral. Lineage: Eukaryota; Metazoa; Arthropoda; Arachnida; Ixodida; Ixodidae.
GCCGCCGUAGCUCAGUGGUAGAGCCUCGGACACGUUAUUCGAAGGUCGCAGGUUCAAUCCCUGCCGGCGGCA